Molecule: ribosomal RNA, 221 nt
Filed under: Escherichia coli
Lineage: Bacteria; Pseudomonadati; Pseudomonadota; Gammaproteobacteria; Enterobacterales; Enterobacteriaceae
Description: partial 16S ribosomal RNA
Rfam family: Bacterial small subunit ribosomal RNA
Source: RNAcentral
CGGGCCUCUUGCCAUCGGAUGUGCCCAGAUGGGAUUAGCUAGUAGGUGGGGUAAAGGCUCACCUAGGCGACGAUCCCUAGCUGGUCUGAGAGGAUGACCAGCCACACUGGAACUGAGACACGGUCCAGACUCCUACGGGAGGCAGCAGUGGGGAAUAUUGCACAAUGGGCGCAAGCCUGAUGCAGCCAUGCCGCGUGUAUGAAGAAGGCCUUCGGGUUGUA